This 253-nucleotide ribosomal RNA is filed under the name uncultured bacterium. RNAcentral describes it as "partial 16S ribosomal RNA". It matches the Rfam family "Bacterial small subunit ribosomal RNA", at positions 524 to 776 of the family's 1533-position model. The record is from RNAcentral.
UACGUAGGUCCCAAGCGUUAUCCGGAUUUAUUGGGUUUAAAGGGUGCGUAGGCGGUCGGGUAAGUCUGGUGUGAAAUCUUCGAGCUUAACUCGGAAACUGCAUUGGAUACUAUUCGGCUGGAGAGUUGGAGGGGGGACUGGAAUACUUGGUGUAGCAGUGAAAUGCGUAGAUAUCAAGUGGAACACCAGUGGCGAAGGCGAGUCCCUGGACAACUUCUGACGCUGAGGCACGAAAGCUAGGGGAGCAAACAGG